GAUGAACGCUGGCGGCGUGCCUAAUACAUGCAAGUCGAGCGAACGGACGAGAAGCUUGCUUCUCUGAUGUUAGCGGCGGACGGGUGAGUAACACGUGGAUAACCUACCUAUAAGACUGGGAUAACUUCGGGAAACCGGAGCUAAUACCGGAUGAUAUUUUGAACCGCAUGGUUCAAUAGUGAAAGACGGUCUUGCUGUCACUUAUAGAUGGAUCCGCGCUGCAUUAGCUAGUUGGUAAGGUAACGGCUUACCAAGGCAACGAUGCAUAGCCGACCUGAGAGGGUGAUCGGCCACACUGGAACUGAGACACGGUCCAGACUCCUACGGGAGGCAGCAGUAGGGAACCUUCCGCAAUGGGCGAAAGCCUGACGGAGCAACGCCGCGUGAGUGAUGAAGGUCUUCGGAUCGUAAACCUCUGUUAUUAGGGAAGAACAUAUGUGUAAGUAACUGUGCACAUCUUGACGGUACUUAAUCAGAAAGCCACGGCUAACUACGU
Molecule: ribosomal RNA, 496 nt
Filed under: uncultured bacterium
Lineage: Bacteria
Description: partial 16S ribosomal RNA
Rfam family: Bacterial small subunit ribosomal RNA
Source: RNAcentral